This 434-nucleotide long non-coding RNA is filed under the name Sorghum bicolor (sorghum). RNAcentral's name for it is "long non-coding RNA (SBIC_LNC016656)". Lineage: Eukaryota; Viridiplantae; Streptophyta; Magnoliopsida; Poales; Poaceae. The record is from RNAcentral.
AGCUUUGGUUCCACUUUGGCUAUACUUGUUAUAUCUUGUUUAGUUUGGUAUCUCCCGAUAGUGCAAGAUCAUCAUCACUAGUUGUUGCUCUGGUCUUUGCGCGAGAUUAGAGUAGUAUCAAAUAGUGUAAGCAUGGUGGUUAUACUAUAGGGUACCCUGGAUUUUUGCUAACUCUCUAGAUAGUUAUUACUUAUUAGUGGUAGGUAGCAGGUGAUGACUUGUUCAUCCUUUGUAUUCCACCACGUGUCAGUGUUUGAUGACCUACAACCUUGCUACGGGGUUACCAGAAGCGAGGAUUGUUGGGCUUUGGCGUAAACUGAACUCGAUGGUUAAACGCGAGACAAUAAUUUAUACAAGUUUUGGCCGCUGAGUAGCGUAAUACUCUACAUCAUGUGUGACGUGUUCCCUUGCGUUGGAUUGCUUUGUAUAAGCCG